RNAcentral lists this ribosomal RNA (497 nucleotides) under uncultured bacterium. RNAcentral's name for it is "partial 16S ribosomal RNA". It matches the Rfam family "Bacterial small subunit ribosomal RNA", at positions 28 to 507 of the family's 1533-position model. The record is from RNAcentral.
GACGAACGCUGGCGGCGUGCCUAAUACAUGCAAGUAGAACGCUGAAGAGAGGAGCUUGCUCUUCUUGGAUGAGUUGCGAACGGGUGAGUAACGCGUAGGUAACCUGCCUUGUAGCGGGGGAUAACUAUUGGAAACGAUAGCUAAUACCGCAUAACAAUGGAUGACACAUGUCAUUUAUUUGAAAGGGGCAAUUGUUCCACUACAAGAUGGACCUGCGUUGUAUUAGCUAGUAGGUGAGGUAAUGGCUCACCUAGGCGACGAUACAUGGCCGACCUGGGAGGGUGAGCGGCCACACUGGGACUGAGACCCGGCACAGACUCCUUCGGGAGGCAGCAGGAGGGAAACUUCGGCAAGGGGGGCAACACUGACCGAGCAACGCCGCGUGAGUGAAGAAGGUUUUCGGAUCGUAAAGCUCGGUUGUAAGUCAAGAACGGGUGUGAGAGUGGAAAGUUCACACUGUGACGGUAGCUUACCAGAAAGAGACGGCUAACUACGUG